CCAGUAAAACUGCAAGUGGUCCCCCUCCUCUCAUGCCCAGGGGCCCAGGACACACCCUGAGGCGCAGCUGCACAGAUCUCUCUUAUAGUCCGUGCCUUUGCAGGGUCGUCCUCGGCAUCCCACUCUGAAUCCCACAAGUCUUGCUGUGUCACCCAGAGCUGGAGUGGAGUGGCACAAUCUUGGCUCACUGCAACCUCCACUUCCUGGGUUCAAGUGAUUCUAGUUCCUCAGCCACCCAAGUAGCUGGGAUUACAGACAUGCGUCACCAUGCUGGUCUCGAACUCCUGGCCUCAAGUGAUCCGCCCACCUCAGCCUCCCAAAGUGCUGGGAUUACAGGUGUGAGCCACCACGCCUGGCCAACUUUCCUAGGUGAUUCCAACAUGCAGGUCUUACUGAUGAACAUCCUCCUAGAUCAAAGCCUUUGCAUUUGUGUUCCCUCCACUGGAAUGCCCUUCCUGUAUAUCAGCAAGGCUAGCUCCCUCAU
This is a long non-coding RNA of Symphalangus syndactylus (siamang), 484 nucleotides long. RefSeq lists it as uncharacterized. The record is from RefSeq and is a predicted model, not a curated record. Lineage: Eukaryota; Metazoa; Chordata; Mammalia; Primates; Hylobatidae.